GUUGCCCGCCGACAACGUGCUGCGUUUAAAGCACGUUGUUUGAGGAUUGCUGCUGUUGCUUCACCGAGGAAGCCUGCACGAAGUCAUCUCGCCGUACCACUCGUCAGCUGUCCGUAAAGGAUUCACAGGAGUAUCUUGUGAGGAGAACGUGUAUGCCGUCCUAGCAGCCAGGCUGAAACUUCAAAAAGGCCAGACAUUUGAAUCACUAGCUGUCGAGAACAGUCAGGCAGAAACGACUGCUAAACAGUUUAGCCCAUGAGCCAGUGCCAAGAGUUAACUAAGUUCUAAAUAAUGGUGGUCCAGAAGCAGUAUGAUGAAUCCCAGAGGAAGGAAGAAGAGCUGUUCAGAUUAAAUAAAGAGACUAGAGCUCAAAAUUAACUUUCAAUAAGAGAAAUUGAAAAAAUAAUUUCAGAGUAAAAACAUUAAGAUAUAAACUGGUUUUAUUUUUAUUUAAUUAAGUCAUAUGAACU
Molecule: long non-coding RNA, 470 nt
Organism: Schistocerca gregaria
Lineage: Eukaryota; Metazoa; Arthropoda; Insecta; Orthoptera; Acrididae
Exons: 3
Source: RefSeq, a predicted model, not a curated record